Molecule: long non-coding RNA, 499 nt
Organism: Diceros bicornis minor
Lineage: Eukaryota; Metazoa; Chordata; Mammalia; Perissodactyla; Rhinocerotidae
Exons: 4
Source: RefSeq, a predicted model, not a curated record
GUCAAAUUCUUUAGGCAGUUAGUGGGGGAGGUCAAAUGUCCUUCAGAGAAAACAAUCAAGGUGAGAAAACUGAGGAUGAGAGCCAACUACUAAAUAACUUUUGCAAGUCAUACAAUUCAUCAGUGACGACAUCAACUGAAAGGUCCUGGAAACUCACAACGUGAUCCAACAUCCUGGAGAAUCAGCCCAGCCACAUCUCAGAUCAUUGUGGUCUUGCAUUCAGACCCAGAAGAAGGCUGCAUUUCAGCAUUAAUCAGGGAAGAGGAAGAAAAUAACAUUAAUUUAGAAGCCUUCAUGUACCAGAAGAGGAAAUUAGGACACAGACACACAGAGGAAAGACCAUGUGAGGACAUAGGGAGAAGACAGCCAUCUACAAGCCAAGGAGAGAGUUCUCAGAAGAAACCAACCCUGCUGGCACCUUGCUCUCAAACUUCCAGCCUCCAGAACCAUGGAAAAAUAAAUGUCUGUUGUUUAGGCCACCCAGUCUGUGGUACUUUGU